GACGAACGCUGGCGGCGUGCUUAACACAUGCAAGUCGAACGGAAAGGCCCUGCUUUUGUGGGGUGCUCGAGUGGCGAACGGGUGAGUAACACGUGAGUAACCUGCCCUUGACUUUGGGAUAACUUCAGGAAACUGGGGCUAAUACCGGAUAGGAGCUCCUGCUGCAUGGUGGGGGUUGGAAAGUUUCGGCGGUUGGGGAUGGACUCGCGGCUUAUCAGCUUGUUGGUGGGGUAGUGGCUUACCAAGGCUUUGACGGGUAGCCGGCCUGAGAGGGUGACCGGCCACAUUGGGACUGGGAUACGGCCCAGACUCCUACGGGAGGCAGCAGUGGGGAAUAUUGCACAAUGGGCGGAAGCCUGAUGCAGCAACGCCGCGUGCGGGAUGACGGCCUUCGGGUUGUAAACCGCUUUCGCCUGAGACGAAGCGUGAGUGACGGUAAUGGGUAAAGAAGCACCGGCUAACUACGUG
RNAcentral lists this ribosomal RNA (468 nucleotides) under uncultured bacterium. RNAcentral's name for it is "partial 16S ribosomal RNA". It matches the Rfam family "Bacterial small subunit ribosomal RNA", at positions 28 to 507 of the family's 1533-position model. The record is from RNAcentral.